ACAUGCACUCAUGCAACAGCGACGUUUGUUAGGUGGUGGCUCAAGCCAGUGGAUGGUCAGUUUGAUUAUGUUCUGUCAGUUGUAUCUACAGGCAGCACUUGCUUGUUUUCCCCUGCCACUUUACCGGAAGUGUUUGCUGGGUGUGAUUGUGCAGGAUCCACAUUAACUUGUACCCUGAAGUCCGUAUCACAGAACAAUAAUGGAGGCAAAUGGAAGUGCUCUAUAAGUCAAAAUCAGCAAUCUGUUUUCAGUCAUGAAAUAACAAUUAUUGUGGCAGUGCCUGUGGUCAAUGUUACGUUGACCCCAGACCUACCAGCGAUUUCUGUCUUACAAAACGUACCAAUCAGCUUCAUCAAAUGUGAAUCAUCAGAGGGCCGUCCUACCCCAAUCAUUACUUGGUAUAUGGACAACGAUACCCCGUCGGAUUACAACGAUGAUGUAAAUAUCACUAAAAAAAGCAUUAGUCUUGUAGCAGGAGACCGGACGACAAGCACUCUGACAAUUACUCCUUCAAUGGAACAUCAUGGGACAAUCAUAUACUGCAAAGUCUCAAAUGGGUACGGGUCGAUCUUAUCCGUCAGGAAACCCCGUAUUAACGUGUUGGUCGCCCCAUCCACACCAAAAGUUCUAUACAAGAAUGUGAUUGUUGACAUCAUUACUGUGAUACAAAAUAGCUCUGUAUCGCUGGAAUGCACCUCUUCUGGGAAUCCAACGCCUAACAUAUCAUGGAAAUUAACUAAUGGCUCUGUUAUUAAUAACGGAGCUAUUGAACUGAAAUUUAUGCAAAGUGUGAAUGCAGUUACGCUCACCUGCACGGCCACAAGUGCCAUGCAGCCAACGAACGGAAGUACAACAAAA
Molecule: long non-coding RNA, 858 nt
Organism: Dreissena polymorpha
Lineage: Eukaryota; Metazoa; Mollusca; Bivalvia; Myida; Dreissenidae
Exons: 3
Source: RefSeq, a predicted model, not a curated record